This 253-nucleotide ribosomal RNA is filed under the name uncultured bacterium. RNAcentral describes it as "partial 16S ribosomal RNA". It matches the Rfam family "Bacterial small subunit ribosomal RNA", at positions 524 to 776 of the family's 1533-position model. The record is from RNAcentral.
UACGGGGGGGGCAAGCGUUAAUCGGAAUUACUGGGCGUAAAGCGUGCGCAGGCGGUUAUGCAAGACAGAUGUGAAAUCCCCGGGCUUAACCUGGGAACCGCAUUUGUGACUGCAUAGCUGGAGUACGGCAGAGGGGGAUGGAAUUCCGCGUGUAGCAGUGAAAUGCGUAGAGAUGUGGAGGAACACCGAUGGCGAAGGCAGCCCCCUGGGCUAACACUGACGCUCAGGCACGAAAGCGUGGGGAGCAAACAGG